GCACACCCUUCAUAUGUAAAACACGGCAAUGCAAAUAUUACCCCGGAACCUACGCUGUCCUUCCGAUUUCAGAUAAAGCGACAUCUUUAUUCCAGCAGUGGAUGGUUGUGGACUAGAGGUGCAUCCAUCUACGUCGUUUUGUGGCUUGUCGCGCAAUCUGGUCUCGCGAGGACACGGCCCAGGCAUUUAGGCAACCAUGUGUUCAUUUUGCACCUGGACGCUUACUCUCCACAGGGCUUCUCAACGAGACUUCCAUGGUAUGUUCAAAUCGGUUGUUCUUUCUGGAUUUCGAAUUGACCGUGGUUUCAACUCUUACAGCGCUGAUCCAUUUUCGCCUAUGUUUAAGGUCGCUGCCUAAUCGAUCUUCGGGGAUUAGUCUGGUUAGGCUUCAGAGCCCUGAUUACUCAUAUGUGUGAAAUUACUGAAAGUGUGAAUCAUCUCUUUAGGGUUCGAGAAAGACAGAGUUCUGUGGAUUCAUUCUGUUCAGAUCGAAGCAAUCAGUUGUCGUUCUAAAAUUCGAUGUUGUCGAGAAUUUUUUUAGGCUCACAUAAUAGCGGUCUUGAUUUGUAUUUAGAUAAGAACCCCCAUCAAGUUUUAUCUGGCUUCAAUUUGAACCCAAUUCUAGAUUUCUCUGGGCUGAUUCUAUCUGUGUCUGGGUUCGAGGUGACCUUUCUCGCAAACCAUCAUCCGUUGACGGCGAGUCUUCCAAUGGUCGUGCAAAGAGAUUUUUAUUCCUUGUUUGUACUUCGGAGCUACGUUCUUCUUCAAAAGUGGAUUGUCUUUAUUACAGGAUUUUAAUUUCAAUGUCAGCUAUGACAGAGGACCAUCCACAGUGAUCAAUACCUAGCGAAGCACAUCCGUUAGCAGCUUCCACCUUCAAUGCUGACCAAAGUAAUUCCAAAUCGCCCCGAUCAAGCUUCUCAGCAGCUUUUGUGAAGCUGGUGAUGCAAGAAUUGACGUUUCCUUUUAGAUACAGCCGCUCAUGAAUGCUUGUGACACAUUGUUGGUUGCACUACUUCCCUACAAACUGGUAGAAGGCGCUGUGUAAAGUAUUAGUUUCUGGUGCAUUCUGGAAGCUGCGCUCCUGGUCUUGGUGGCGUGACAUCGCAGGAGACUGUAGAAGAUAUCCAAAUGUAAUGUACAAACGGUAUGUGAAGUUCUGGAGAAGGAGGGUGAUGCCACGGUAAUACCAUAUUGGAAAAAGAGAAAUAUUGGGGAAAACAACUGUGCCAGAAUUUCAUGCUUAGAUUAUGCUGGCGGACUGCACCCCAACUUGCAUGUAAGCUAUAACAUGUUCAUCUCUUUACAGACAAAUUGGUACAGACAACACUUCUCUUGAGUCCAUGUCACUAGAUCAACUUCGAUGUGCACUUCCAGUAUUAGCAGCUGGUAUUAUUGUCCUCUAUUGGGUUGUUAGAGCAAUGUUCUGACCAAUUCAAAGAGGUAUGUUGGUGGCAUUAUUUAUAUUAAACUUUGUCCUUGAACUCUUGUUUCUUGAA
Molecule: non-coding RNA, 1499 nt
Organism: Physcomitrium patens
Lineage: Eukaryota; Viridiplantae; Streptophyta; Bryopsida; Funariales; Funariaceae
Source: RefSeq, a predicted model, not a curated record